This 216-nucleotide ribosomal RNA is filed under the name Glomeromycotina sp. Its description in RNAcentral is "partial small subunit ribosomal RNA". The stretch from base 38 to 216 matches the Rfam family "Eukaryotic small subunit ribosomal RNA", at positions 684 to 864 of the family's 1831-position model. Lineage: Eukaryota; Fungi; Glomeromycota. The record is from RNAcentral.
GGGUCAGUAGGUUGGUCGUGCCACCGGUACGUACUGGUAUAACUGAUUCCUCCUUCCUGAAGAACCGUAAUGCCAUUAAUUUGGUGUUGCGGGGAAACAGGACUGUUACUUUGAAAAAAUUAGAGUGUUUAAAGCAAGCUAACGCUUGAAUAAAUUAGCAUGGAAUAAUGAAAUAGGACGAUCGAUCCUAUUUUGUUGGUUUCUAGGAUUGACGUA